CCAGUGGACCCAUCGUGUAUGCGGAACCGGACUUUCUGUGGCCCGCUAUAGAGAAAUUUGCUGGACUGAAGAAGACUUCCCUUUUCGCUGUUUGAGAUGCGUAGAUCCCAUCAAUGAAGUGGUGAUCAGUAACUUUGAUGUCAGUUUCCAGUCAGAAGAUGCAGAAGAAAUGAGAGUACCAGACCUAUCGGAAAUCACAUUAUGGCUUCACAUGUACUCUAAGAAGACGAAUAUGACUGUAACAAAAAACUUCAGAUACCAGAACAUUCUGGUGCUGCAGCGUCAGGAACAAGAAGACAACCUGUCCGGCAUCGUUGAUACAGGUGGACGACACCUACAAUGAAGGGAAACACCGCCACUUCCCAACGAUCCUCAAGUGAAGACGAUAAUCCUGGACUUUGAACAGGCUGUGUGGAAAGCAAUCAGUAAAACCCUUCCAGAUCCCGCAUCCGUGGAUGCCUGUUCCACAUGACUCAAGCAGUCUGGUGGAAAUGUCAAGAAAUUGGAUUGCAGGUAGCCUACAUGGUGGAUGAUGUCAUCCACUAGUUUGUAAGGAAAAUCAUGGCACUCCCCUUUCUACCAGCAGCCGACAUCACGAGGAUGUUUUUGAGAAUAACAGAGCGUGUCCCGG
Haliotis rufescens (red abalone) is the source of this 631-nucleotide long non-coding RNA. RefSeq lists it as uncharacterized. Lineage: Eukaryota; Metazoa; Mollusca; Gastropoda; Lepetellida; Haliotidae. The record is from RefSeq and is a predicted model, not a curated record. The transcript is spliced from 3 exons.